UGUAAACAAACCACGUACCAAUCAGCUGUGCACUUAAGAUCAGACUGACGAUGUAUCCACUCGAGUAAAAGAUGAGUGCAAAAAGGGGAAAUGAAGAAACAAAAAAUCAUAAAGACCCACUGGAGAGAGAAAGAGAAAAUCGGAGGGGUGCUAUGUUUGAGGAGCGAGGAAAUCCCCUCUGCUCAGUAGCAUCUCUUGAAAAAUUCCUGAGCAACAUUCCGCCUGGUGCAAAAGCCCUCUAUCUGCAGCCCAGGAGGGUAACAGCUCUGACAGACAGCUUCUGGUAUACCGCCAUUCCCCUGGGAGUAAACCAGCUGUCACAGAUGUUAUCCAGGAUGUGGAAAGAGGCAGGGACACACACGUCUUACACCAACCACAGCCUGAGAGCUACUGCCAUACAGAGAAUGUCUGAUGCAGGACUUGAGGUGAGGAACAUCAUGGCAGUGAGUGGACAUAGAUGAAAGCUUGCUAAAAAGUUACCGGAGACCAUCCAUGAAGGGCAGGAAAAGAUGGAGCAACGUACUGAUCAAGCUGUUAACUCAUCAGAAUCACACAUGCCACUAAAGCGACUGUCAACAGACUCUUAUUUCACUGGUUGCACAAUAAAUGGAAACCUACAGAUAAAUUUAGGCUACAUGUUACAAAGUAGCUGGCCUGUUGUAGACCUACAAGUAGCAAGCUAGUAUGCAGGAAAAUGUUUAUGUGUUAAGUCCAGUUGCAGAACUAUUUGUGUUGGUGGAGCCAAAUAAAUGAUUAA
This is a long non-coding RNA of Thunnus maccoyii (southern bluefin tuna), 757 nucleotides long. RefSeq lists it as uncharacterized. The transcript is spliced from 3 exons. The record is from RefSeq and is a predicted model, not a curated record. Lineage: Eukaryota; Metazoa; Chordata; Actinopteri; Scombriformes; Scombridae.